This 1861-nucleotide long non-coding RNA is filed under the name Heterocephalus glaber (naked mole-rat). Its description in RNAcentral is "lncRNA (ENSHGLG00100036544.1)". The record is from RNAcentral. Lineage: Eukaryota; Metazoa; Chordata; Mammalia; Rodentia; Bathyergidae.
CGCAUAGUUUCUUGAAGGUUUUCUGCUUGUAGCAGAUGUCAGAAUCUCCUUUCUUUGGGGCUGAAUACUGUCCCUUCCUGGGGACAGUCACCUGUGUGCACACCGAGGUCUGCCGCCCAGUGUGAACUGUGCUGCCACGGGGCCCGCCCGCUUCUCACACCUCUCGGUUCCUAUCUUUGGCUGACUACACACACAUGGAGCCGUUUACGUAGCUUGGGGUUUUUUGUUUUGUUUUUCGUCGUAGUGCUGAGGGUGAAGCCCAGGUCCUCACACGUGCUAGGCAAGUUCUGUACCACUGAGCUGCCUCCCAAGCUGAGCAGUUGGUAUUUUGCAGAACUCUCGAGUGGAGGGCAUAGAGACCUCCUCUUGACCAACACUCUUCGGUUUACAGCUCGGGAAACUGAGGCCCAGAGAUGACCCCACCAUAUCCCCUGAGCACUUCACAGCAUUGCUAGAUUACUUAGAACAGGAGGGGAAGGGGAAGUGGAAAGAAUCAAGACGCAGUCCGACAUGCACCAGCUCCCUGAGAGGAAUGUCACCAUUAUGUGCUGUGGACGUGGACUAAUGCACAUGAAGAUUUUAAAAUAAAAUAAAAUGUAAUUCUGAGAUUGGAAAAAAAGAGAACAUAGACACUCAGGACCAGAAGAAAGGAUGCAAAGUUGGAUGUGAAACCCUAGGCCAUGCUUCUGACUCUGCUCAAAUCUGUAUUCUUAAGAAGAUGGGUUGAUUUUUUCCCUUACUAAGAGGCAGAGAGUCUCACUAUGUAGCCCAGGCUGGCCUUGAACUCACUAGGACCCUCCUGCCUCAGCCUCCGGAGAGUGUGUCAUGAUGCCUGGCUUGUUUUUGUUUCUGUUUUGCACAAAGAAGCGGCGCAGCAGCUGCUCCUGUGGCUGGUCUGCAAAUCCUCCAUGACUGUUUCUUUAAAUUGCAGCCCUGGGAGUGGAGUGAAGGGACAAAGGGCAACGGGAAAGCUUUUCUUGGGGACUGAGCUGGGCCUUAGGGCUGAGAGCGUUCAGGGGAGGGAAGAGGGCAUUCAGGUGGCGGGAACACCAUGGGCAAGAGUGCCCGGGUAGGAAGAGGUGAGAAUUCCCUAAAGCUGUUGGGGGAAUAACCGGAAACGCCCCACUGUUGGUCUCAAACCCCAGGGUAGCAGAGCUGGGCAGAGCCUGGUGUUCUUCUGGGCCCUCUCCCCUCCUGCUGCCUCCACCUCACCCGCCCUGGGCGCCCUUCACUCUGGGGUCCGAACCCAUCUGCUCCCCAGGCCACACCACGCCCGCCUCGGACCCUACCCCAGGCUCCGCCCACCCCCUCCCUCCCGCCUGGUCCCCGGGCCGACGUCAGCAGGUCCUUCAGCGUCAAGACAGACGGCCGGUCACCCUCGCCCCUUCCUUGGGGUGGACCUCAGCCCAUCGCACCAAGAAGGAGCCCCAUGAGCACUGACAGCAAAGCCUUGGAGUACAGACGGCAUCUUCGUGAAGGCUGGGCCCCAGUGUCCGGGCCCCACGUCCCUGGCUCCUGGACUGCCCAGAGCCCGGUGCCUGGUGCUGCCUCCUCUUCUCGUCUGUCUAUACCGUCUUCCGGGCAUGGAUCCGGACAGGCCAGGCCAAGGGAAACACACACACAUUCUCAUCCUGUCUGGUGACUUCCAAGAGGGUGGCUGGGCACCUCCCGGCCUGUCCCUCAGGGCCCUGCUCUCAGGAGGGCAGGGUCGGGUGCUCUGCUGGGACCCGGCCUGCUCCUGCGUCCAGGGGGACUGCAGAGCCCAGCGCCACCGCCAGCGGGACACUGUGUCUGGGAAUUAAUUCAGACGUCACAUUCCACUCCUUGGCGCGGCCAGCUGUUUCAAUAUAAAGAUAUUUAA